GUAUUUUGCUGUCCUUACAGAACAUGCAGUAAAUAAUAGUGUAAUCCUUGCUGAUGAAAUGGGCCUAGGAAAGACCAUCCAGACCAUAUCAUUCCUCUCCUACCUGUUCCACCAACACCAGCUGUAUGGCCCCUUUCUUAUAGUCGUCCCUUUAUCCACCCUCACCUCAUGGCAGAGAGAGUUUGAAAUCUGGGCACCAGAGAUUAACGUAGUGGUUUACAUAGGUGACCUGAUGAGCAGAAAUACGAUACGGGAAUAUGAAUGGAUUCAUUCCCAAACCAAAAGAUUGAAGUUCAACGCACUUAUAACAACAUAUGAGAUCCUCUUGAAAGAUAAGACUGUGCUGGGCAGUAUUAACUGGGCCUUUCUGGGAGUGGAUGAAGCCCAUCGGUUGAAGAAUGAUGACUCUUUAUUGUAUAAAACUCUGAUUGAUUUCAAGUCCAACCAUAGGCUCCUGAUUACGGGGACCCCUCUUCAGAAUUCCCUCAAAGAGCUCUGGUCCUUGCUGCACUUUAUUAUGCCGGAGAAGUUUGAAUUUUGGGAAG
This 545-nucleotide small RNA is filed under the name Pan troglodytes (chimpanzee). RNAcentral's name for it is "processed transcript". Lineage: Eukaryota; Metazoa; Chordata; Mammalia; Primates; Hominidae. The record is from RNAcentral.